GUCCUGCGACUCCACCCCGCGGGGGCGCCGCCGGAGCCCGAGCCUCGCCCCGCGCCGGGAAGUAGCCGGUUUAGGCGUCCGCUAAGCAGCGCAUAUAGGAUGCAUGAACAGAGCCUUGCUCACCACCAGAGCUAGGCAGCCAAGCAGUGUCCUCUGGACAGCAACCACAUAUGUGAUCAGCUACUCUCUGGGAGAUACCAGCGACCUGGAAGGAGGCAGAUGGAGAGCAGGAAGAUGGCAGCCAGUAGCGUCUGUGGUCUCCGGAAAGUAUUGCAGUUGGUGCCAGAAGCCUUCCCCUCAACCUGAAACUUUUCAGAUAUCGCGGAGAUACCAAACAUUCAGGAUUUAUAUCAGUUGUGAUCUGCUCUGGUAUUAACUGAGGAUCUGGGUUUAAAUGCUGCAUCUUCAGAAAGGAAAGAAUGUUCUGAACUUCUAAAUUGUAAGAACUGUCCGCCAUGGUCUUGCCUUUGGAGGCUAGUCUGCAGGCUGCCAUCCAGUGCGCAUACUGUUUUUCCUGAUGAAAAGAAAUACUGAGAUCUCAAUUCUGAUGUUAUUUUCACCAUGGAGCCUCUUAAUUCUCUCUGCCAUCACUGAAGACUGCAACCCCCUGAACCUGGUAUGAGGUGGUAUAACCAUUACCAUAGUCAAGAGUUUAACCUGUCUUUACUGAUAGCAAAGAAGACUUCCAUCCUGGUGUGCUAGUCAACAAAGCGAUGAAGCAGCUGUUUGUAACACUGCUGCAAGUCAUUCAAACUGACCAGACCAGACAACAUCAUAGCUGUGUUCAUACCGUCCUCACCAAGAGUAGGCUCAAUCUCAAGAAGCCACUUUCUUUGCUCAUCCUCCUCCUUGAAAGUGUGAUCACAAGAUUGCAGCAACCCAGUCAUCUCUUCACACACUACUUCUAAUUCUAGUUUUCUUGCUACAUCUGCAGUGGCUUUCUCCACUCAGCAUUUUCAAACUCCUGUUCAUGUUGAUUUCUGAACUUCUUCAAUAAAAC
Long non-coding RNA from Talpa occidentalis (Iberian mole), 1000 nucleotides. RefSeq lists it as uncharacterized. Lineage: Eukaryota; Metazoa; Chordata; Mammalia; Eulipotyphla; Talpidae. The record is from RefSeq and is a predicted model, not a curated record. The transcript is spliced from 6 exons.